RNAcentral lists this ribosomal RNA (252 nucleotides) under uncultured bacterium. RNAcentral describes it as "partial 16S ribosomal RNA". It matches the Rfam family "Bacterial small subunit ribosomal RNA", at positions 524 to 776 of the family's 1533-position model. The record is from RNAcentral.
UACGGGGGGGGCAAGCGUUGUUCGGAAUUACUGGGCGUAAAGGGCUCGUAGGUGGCCAACUAAGUCAGACGUGAAAUCCCUCGGCUUAACCGGGGAACUGCGUCUGAUACUGGAUGGCUUGAGUUCGGGAGAGGGAUGCGGAAUUCCAGGUGUAGCGGUGAAAUGCGUAGAUAUCUGGAGGAACACCGGUGGCGAAGGCGGCAUCCUGGACCGAUACUGACGCUGAGGAGCGAAAGCCAGGGAGCAAACGGG